RNAcentral lists this ribosomal RNA (497 nucleotides) under uncultured bacterium. RNAcentral's name for it is "partial 16S ribosomal RNA". It matches the Rfam family "Bacterial small subunit ribosomal RNA", at positions 28 to 507 of the family's 1533-position model. The record is from RNAcentral.
GAUGAACGCUGGCGGCGUGCCUAAUACAUGCAAGUCGAGCGAACGGACGAGAAGCUUGCUUCUCUGGUGUUAGCGGCGGACGGGUGAGUAACGCGUGGAUAACCUACCUAUAAGACUGGGAUAACUUCGGGAAACCGUAGCUAAUACCGGAUAAUAUUUUGAACCGCAUGGUUCAAAAGUGAAAGACGGUCUUGCUGUCACUUAUAGAUGGAUCCGCGCUGCAUUAGCUAGUUGGUAAGGUAACGGCUUACCAAGGCAACGAUGCAUAGCCGACCUGAGAGGGUGAUCGGCCACACUGGAACUGAGACACGGUCCAGACUCCUACGGGAGGCAGCAGUAGGGAAUCUUCCGCAAUGGGCGAAAGCCUGACGGAGCAACGCCGCGUGAGUGAUGAAGGUCUUCGGAUCGUAAAACUCUGCUAUUAGGGAAGAACAUAUGUGUAAGUAACUGUGCACAUCUUGACGGUACCUAAUCAGAAAGCCACGGCUAACUACGUG